This 253-nucleotide ribosomal RNA is filed under the name uncultured bacterium. RNAcentral describes it as "partial 16S ribosomal RNA". It matches the Rfam family "Bacterial small subunit ribosomal RNA", at positions 524 to 776 of the family's 1533-position model. The record is from RNAcentral.
UACGUAGGGUGCAAGCGUUGUCCGGAAUUAUUGGGCGUAAAGAGCUCGUAGGCGGCUUGUCGCGUCGACUGUGAAAACCCGUGGCUCAACUGCGGGCCUGCAGUCGAUACGGGCAGGCUAGAGUUCGGUAGGGGAGACUGGAAUUCCUGGUGUAGCGGUGAAAUGCGCAGAUAUCAGGAGGAACACCGGUGGCGAAGGCGGGUCUCUGGGCCGAUACUGACGCUGAGGAGCGAAAGCGUGGGGAGCGAACAGG